UUGAACACUGGCGGCAUGCCUUACACAUGCAAGUCGAACGGUAGAGGGGCAACCCUUGAGAGUGGCGAACGGGUGAGUAAUGCAUCGGAACGUGCCCAGUCGUGGGGGAUAACGCAGCGAAAGCUGUGCUAAUACCGCAUGUGAUCUGUGGAUGAAAGCAGGGGACCGCAAGGCCUUGUGCGAUUGGAGCGGCCGAUGUCAGAUUAGCUAGUUGGUAGGGUAAAAGCCUACCAAGGCGACGAUCUGUAGCUG
This 252-nucleotide ribosomal RNA is filed under the name uncultured bacterium. Its description in RNAcentral is "partial 16S ribosomal RNA". It matches the Rfam family "Bacterial small subunit ribosomal RNA", at positions 30 to 289 of the family's 1533-position model. The record is from RNAcentral.